GACAUAGGUGGCGAACGUUAUCCGGAAUUAUUGGGCGUAAAGGGUGCGUAGAUUGUGUGAUAAGUUACUAGUGGUAAAUCAAGGCUCAACCUUGCGGAAGCUAGUAAUACUGUUACACUUUGAGUGCAGAAGAGGUUAACGGAAUUCCAUGUGGAGCGGUGAAAUGUGUUGAUAUAUGGAAGAACAUCAAUAAAGGCGAAGGCAGUUAACCAUUCUGCUACUGACGUUGAGGCACGAAAGCGUGGGGAGCAAACAGG
RNAcentral lists this ribosomal RNA (257 nucleotides) under uncultured bacterium. RNAcentral describes it as "partial 16S ribosomal RNA". It matches the Rfam family "Bacterial small subunit ribosomal RNA", at positions 524 to 776 of the family's 1533-position model. The record is from RNAcentral.